RNAcentral lists this long non-coding RNA (959 nucleotides) under Amborella trichopoda. Its description in RNAcentral is "long non-coding RNA (ATRI_LNC002909)". The record is from RNAcentral. Lineage: Eukaryota; Viridiplantae; Streptophyta; Magnoliopsida; Amborellales; Amborellaceae.
UUCUUUGUUACCGUUCUUUUGCAUUCGCCUUUCUCGCUCUUACAACCGAGUCAACCGCAUCUCGCGAAACAGGAACAACUUUAUUCCCGUCUCUUUGUUUUUUUUUGUUUAACAGUGACAACUUUAUUCCAAACUUGACCGUCACUUCUCAGCUUUCACAAUUACAAUUGCUACAGUGGCUCAAUUAUUCAACUCCCUCUCUCUCUCUUAACCCUCUGAUUGCGGGUUUUCGUUUUGGGCCAUCGAGGAAAAAGGAUAAUGAGCUGUUGAAUUUUGUGGUAUUGAUAUUUUUUGGAUUUGAAAUUGGGGUUUUUAAGGCAAUGGAGAAGACAACGUUUGUAGGUUGUUAAGGUUUUCCAGUAUUUAGAGCCCUGGGGAUCAAGAAUUGGGUUUUCCUUUUUGGGGAAGAAAACAUCAUUGGCUUCUUGAAAUUUACGAGCUCUGAGAGUAGGCUGAAAUACUGAUAGUCACAGGGGAAUAAAAGAUUAGUUCUUGAGAUUUUAUACAAUAUUUUUGGAUUUUUGAAUAGCAUGGAUAACGGUAGUUGGAUGCCUGCUCAAGGCAAGGGUGAUCUAGUUCUAACGGAUGCUAACGAUUGGAGGACAGAGCUUUCAGCUGAUUCUAGGCAGAGGAUUGUGAAUAAGAUGUGAGCUCUGUCUCUCUCUCUCUAUCUCUCUCUCUCUAUCUCUCUCUCUAUAUAUAUAUAUAUAUAUUGAUUGGUAGGUAUAUUUCUUUUUUUCAUUGUUUAUUUCUGUAGUCUACUGCAUUCCCAAUUUGAUAUUGCCUGUCUUUGUGUGCUGUUUUUUGUUGAAACAUAUUUCUUCCUUUGGUAUGGGAAUGUUUAGAAUUCCAAGGAUAUUAGAGAAACAGUAGGAUAAUACAACUUACCCUUGUUGAGAUGGACUUAAGGAAAAUUGUUUCAUGCAGACUGAACUGCAUUUCUACAUAUGCGGUCUAGA